Long non-coding RNA from Oreochromis aureus, 707 nucleotides. RefSeq lists it as uncharacterized. NCBI's taxonomy places the organism in Eukaryota, Metazoa, Chordata, Actinopteri, Cichliformes, Cichlidae. The record is from RefSeq and is a predicted model, not a curated record. The transcript is spliced from 4 exons.
CCUCAGCAUCCAUCAGUCCAUCAGGUUUGGUGUCAGCAGGCAGCUGGGUGAACCUGACCUGCUCCAGCAGAGCCAAACCUCCAGUCAGCAGCUUCACCUGGUUCAAGAAGAGCAGAGAUGGAGCUGUGAAAGUAUCUGAAGGAGAGAUUUACAGCUUCAAUGUAACAGAUGGAGGAGUUUAUUACUGUGUGGCCACUAAUGAUCUGGGUAAUCAGACAUCAGCAGAGAUUCAUGUGACUGUUGCAGGACAUCAGAAUAGUGGUUCUUUACCACUGAGUCUACUUCUUGGAGGCAUCCUUGGGUUCAUCUUACUGAUCUGUUUGAUUAUCUUUGCUUUCACAGCUCUCAGGUUGUUAAAGUACCAAACUCAGCAAGAGACUCAGAGUCAAACAAGUGAAGAGCUGGUUGUUGAAGAGCCGACAAGUAAAACAGAAGGAGGGGAAGAAAACAUCCAUUAUGGAGAGAUCAACUUCUCUGUGCUGGGAUAUGAAGCAUCCUCUGUCUCAGUGCAGGACACAGGACAGCAGCAGGAUACGGUGUACGCACAGGUGAAAGUCAACAAGCCAAAAAAACGGCUUAACACAGAGAGCUCAUGGCCAAGAGGAACUCUACGCUGAGGUCAGAAAAAGUGAGAACAGCUGUGUUAAGACAUUAACAAAGAAAUACAGAGAUCAAUGAAGUAAACCCAACAAACCACUUCCUGCACA